AACGAACGCUGGCGGCAGGCUUAACACAUGCAAGUCGAACGGUUGUAGCAAUACAGCAGUGGCAGACGGGUGAGUAACACGUGGGAACCUUCCUAGGGGUACGGAACAACUCAGGGAAACUUGAGCUAAUACCGUAUACGUCCGUGAGGAGAAAGAUUUAUCGCCCUUAGACGGGCCCGCGUCGGAUUAGCUAGUUGGUGGGGUAACGGCCUACCAAGGCGACGAUCCGUAGUUGAUCUUAGAGGAUGAUCAGCCACACUGGGACUGAGACACGGCCCAGACUCCUACGGGAGGCAGCAGUGGGGAAUCUUGGACAAUGGGCGCAAGCCUGAUCCAGCCAUGCCGCGUGAGUGAAGAAGGUCUUCGGAUUGUAAAGCUCUUUUGCCAGGGACGAUAAUGACGGUACCUGGAGAAUAAGCCCCGGCAAUCUUCGUGCCAGCCGCCGCAGUAA
This 451-nucleotide ribosomal RNA is filed under the name uncultured bacterium. RNAcentral's name for it is "partial 16S ribosomal RNA". It matches the Rfam family "Bacterial small subunit ribosomal RNA", at positions 29 to 523 of the family's 1533-position model. The record is from RNAcentral.